AUGGCUGCCCAGCUCCUCCUCCUCCUCCUUCUAGCGCUCGUCAACGUGGCGCCACCACGGCGCCACGCCGGCGUGUCCGCUGAAGACGUCAUCCAGCAGGUGACGGACGGCGGCCACGGCGCUGGACGUCCCGGUCUGCUCCCGGAGGCGCAGUUCGCGGCGUUCGUGCGGCGGCACGGCAAGGAGUACUCGGGCCCCGAAGAGUACGCGUGCCGGCUGCGCGUGUUCGCGGCCAACGUGGCCCGCGCAGCCGCCCACAAGGCGCUCGACCCGGGCGCGCGCCACGGCGUCACGCCCUUCUCCGACCUCACCCAGGAGGAGUUCGAGGCGCGCCUCACCGGCCUCGCCGGCGCCGGCGACGUCCUGCGCAGCGUGCGGGCGAUGCCGGCUGCGGCGCCGGCCACGGAGAAGGAGGUCGCCGCGCUGCCCGCCAGCUUCGACUGGCGCGACAAGGGCGCCGUCACCGAUGUCAAGAUGCAGGGCGUGUGCGGCUCGUGCUGGGCGUUCAGCACGACCGGCGCCGUGGAGGGCGCCAACUUCGUCGCCACGGGGAAGCUCCUCAACCUCAGCGAGCAGCAGCUGGUCGACUGCGACCACACGUGCGACGCGGUGGCGAAGACCGAGUGCAACAGCGGCUGCUCCGGCGGGCUGAUGACGAACGCGUACAAGUACCUGAUGGGCUCCGGCGGGCUGAUGGAGCAGGCGGCGUACCCCUACACGGGGGCGCAGGGGCCGUGCCGGUUCGACAGGAGCAAGGUGGCCGUCCGCGUGGCCAACUUCACCGCCGUGCCGCUCGACGAGGACCAGAUGCGGGCGGCGAUCGUCCGCGGCGGGCCCCUGGCGGUGGGCCUGAACGCGGCGUUCAUGCAGACGUACGUGGGCGGCGUGUCCUGCCCGCUCAUCUGCCCGCGGGCGCUGGUGAACCACGGCGUGCUCCUCGUCGGCUACGGCGCGCGCGGCUUCUCGGCGCUGCGGCUCGGCUACCGGCCCUACUGGCUCAUCAAGAACUCGUGGGGGGAGCAGUGGGGGGAGGGCGGGUACUACAAGCUCUGCCGCGGCCGCAACGUCUGCGGCGUCGACAGCAUGGUCUCCGCCGUCGCCGUCGCGCCGUGA
This 1113-nucleotide ribosomal RNA is filed under the name Triticum aestivum (bread wheat). Its description in RNAcentral is "partial small subunit ribosomal RNA". The record is from RNAcentral. Lineage: Eukaryota; Viridiplantae; Streptophyta; Magnoliopsida; Poales; Poaceae.